Molecule: transfer RNA, 399 nt
Filed under: uncultured Microcystis sp.
Lineage: Bacteria; Bacillati; Cyanobacteriota; Cyanophyceae; Chroococcales; Microcystaceae
Description: bacterial LSU rRNA
Rfam family: tRNA (bases 133-206)
Source: RNAcentral
AAGGGAGACCUAAUUCAGGUAUGGGACGAAAAAAAAGUAGUCGCUACCAAGAAUCAAUCCCAAAAGGUCGGAGCGAGGUAUGAGGCUUUCAAACUAGGUUCUGGGUUCAAACAAGACCUGAAUCAGGAACAAGGGCUAUUAGCUCAGGUGGUUAGAGCGCACCCCUGAUAAGGGUGAGGUCCCUGGUUCGAGUCCAGGAUGGCCCACCUGCACAGGUGGCAAGAACAAGAGAAGCGAGGAAUCAGCACCUUAUCUUAUCUAUAUAUAUAUAGGAGAGAAUGCUGGCUCUGAGUAAAGAGUCCAGAGGAACCUUGAAAACUGCAUAGAGCUAGGUGAAAAAGCCAAAAAAGAAGACCGCAAGGUCAAGCUAAUAAGGGCUAACGGUGGAUACCUAGGCAC